UCACCUGUUUAUCAAAAACAUGUCUAUUAGAUUUUAAUUUAUAGUCAAAUCUGCUCAAUGAAAAUUUAUUUUAAAUAGCUGCAGAAUUUUAACUGUACAAAGGUAGCAUAAUAAAUAGCUUUUUAAUUUAAAGCUUGAAUGAAAGAUUUAAUGAAAAAAAAACUUUAUUAGUUUAAAAAAUUAAAAUUUUUUUUAGAUAAAAAAAUCUAAUUUUUUUAAAUAAACAAAAAGACCCUAAAAACUUUAUAAAUUAAAACUAAUUUAUUUAAUUGGGGAAAUUAAAAAAUUAAAAUAAUUUUUUUUUUUUAUAACAAAAAUAAAUGAAUAUAACUAUUUUUAUUAAAAAUUAAUUUAAGUUACUUUAGGGAUAACAGUAUAAUUUUUUAUUUUAGAACAAAUAAAUUAAAAAGUUUAUAACCUCGAUGUUGAAUUAAGAUAAAAAUAAAAUGAAACAAUUUUAAUUUAA
Molecule: ribosomal RNA, 466 nt
Filed under: Stychelonus sp. CXX-2005b
Lineage: Eukaryota; Metazoa; Arthropoda; Insecta; Hymenoptera; Braconidae
Description: partial 16S ribosomal RNA
Source: RNAcentral